CCUACGUGUGGCAGCAGUGAGGAAUAUUGGUCAAUGGGAGAGAUCCUGAACCAGCCAAGCCGCGUGAGGGAAGACGGCCCUAUGGGUUGUAAACCUCUUUUGUCGGAGAACAAAACCCGGGACGUGUCCCGGACUGCGUGUAUCCGAAGAAAAAGCAUCGGCUAACUCCGCGCCAGCAGCCGCGGUAAUACGGAGGAUGCGAGCGUUAUCCGGAUUUAUUGGGUUUAAAGGGUGCGUAGGCGGUCCGUUAAGUCAGCGGUAAAAUUGCGGGGCUCAACCCCGUCGAGCCGUUGAAACUGGCAGACUUGAGUUGGCGAGAAGUACGCGGAAUGCGUGGUGUAGCGGUGAAAUGCAUAGAUAUCACGCAGAACCCCGAUUGCGAAGGCAGCGUACCGGCCGGUCACUGACGCUGAGGCACGAAAGUGCGGGUAUCGAACAGGAUUAGAUACCCGAGUAGUC
Molecule: ribosomal RNA, 459 nt
Filed under: uncultured bacterium
Lineage: Bacteria
Description: partial 16S ribosomal RNA
Rfam family: Bacterial small subunit ribosomal RNA
Source: RNAcentral